RNAcentral lists this long non-coding RNA (252 nucleotides) under Elaeis guineensis (African oil palm). Its description in RNAcentral is "long non-coding RNA (EGUI_LNC036778)". Lineage: Eukaryota; Viridiplantae; Streptophyta; Magnoliopsida; Arecales; Arecaceae. The record is from RNAcentral.
AAUUGACAAGCAGCGUCACCUUAUAGCAUGUGGGAGCCAUCCUCAUUAAAGCCAUGAGUUGAUAGUUAAAAGCCUUGGGGAUGGCAUGGCUUUAUCUCCCUCUUGGCCAUCUAUAGCCUUUAAUGGGUGGAUGUGAUCGGAUCACAAGAAGAUGUCUUAAAGUCAUUAUGAUAAGCCAUUAAUUUUGAUAAGCUGACUUAAUAGCUGCUUGAGGACUUCGAAUAGAUGCUACUAGACGGGACGGCCAUACCA